AACGAACGCUGGCGGCAUGCCUAACACAUGCAAGUCGAACGAUCCCUUCGGGGGUAGUGGCGCACGGGUGUGUAACGCGUGGGAACCUGCACUUAGGUUCGGCAUACCUAAGAGAAUUUUGAGCUAAUACCGGACAAUGUCUUCGGCCCAAAGAUUUAUUGCGUUUGGAUGGGCCCGCGUUGGAUUAGCUUGUUGGGGUGGUAAUGGACUACCACGGCGACGAUUCAUAGCUUGUUUGAGAGAAUGAUCAGCCACACUGAGACUGAGACACGGCCGAGACUCCUACGGGAGGCGGCAGUGGGGAAUAGUGGACAAUGGGCGAAAGCCUGAUCCAGCAAUGCCGCGUGAGUGAUGAAGGCCUUAGGGUUGUAAAGCUCUUUUACCCGGGAUGAUAAUGACAGUACCGAGAGAAUAAGCCCCGGCUAACUCCGUG
RNAcentral lists this ribosomal RNA (433 nucleotides) under uncultured bacterium. Its description in RNAcentral is "partial 16S ribosomal RNA". It matches the Rfam family "Bacterial small subunit ribosomal RNA", at positions 29 to 507 of the family's 1533-position model. The record is from RNAcentral.